GAAGUAAAAGUCGUAACAAGGUUUCCGUAGGUGAACCUGCGGAAGGAUCAUUAACGAGUUUGAAAUCGAGAGCCUGUUGCUGGUGCGGAAACGCACAUCGUGCACGGCUCCUGUGCUCAAUCCAUUUCAACCCCCUUGUGCACCUUAUCGAAGUCAGUAGUCUUUCUCUUUUUGUUUGCCGGUUGUGUGCGGGAACCUCUUUCUGUUCACUUGGCCGGCGAGGAGAAAUAGAGGGUCGAAAGCUUUGACUUUUCUGUUAAACACUUUGUAUGUCUUGUGGAACGUAUUAGCUCCUUUGCAGGGGCGAAAUAAAUACAACUUUCAACAACGGAUCUCUUGGCUCUCGCAUCGAUGAAGAACGCAGCGAAAUGCGAUAAGUAAUGUGAAUUGCAGAAUUCAGUGAAUCAUCGAAUCUUUGAACGCACCUUGCGCCCCUUGGUAUUCCGAGGGGCAUGCCUGUUUGAGUGUCAUGUUAAUCUCAAACCCCUUGUCUUUUUUGACUUGGUCGGUUUGGACUUGGAGGUGUUGCUGGCGUGUAUACGCAGUACUAUGUCGGCUCCUCUUAAUUGCAUUAGCUGGACUUUGGUUCGCAUUUGACGGUGUAAUAGUAAAGUGUUCGCCGGGCGUGCUUGCCUAACGGGUCUGCUUCUAAUCGUCUUCGGACAACUCUGUUCAUUUUGACCUUUGACCUCAAUCAGGUAGGACUACCCGCUGAACUUAAGCAUAUCAAUAAGCGGAGGAAAAGAAACUAACAAGGAUUCCCCUAGUAACUGCGAGUGAAGCGGGAAGAGCUCAAAUUUAAAAUCUG
Molecule: ribosomal RNA, 808 nt
Filed under: Phellinus sp. YD-2015
Lineage: Eukaryota; Fungi; Basidiomycota; Agaricomycetes; Hymenochaetales; Hymenochaetaceae
Description: eukaryotic LSU rRNA
Rfam family: 5.8S ribosomal RNA (bases 317-470)
Source: RNAcentral